GGCCACCGGUGACGCCUCCCCAGCGACUCACGGCCCUGAGUGUUGACAUUUUUGUUGGAGAAGUCUCAUGCCUGGUCCCUGUGCUGGUCUGACUCAGUGCACUGUCCCCACAGGGAAGUCCCACCUGGCCAUCGUGCAGAAGGUGAACAACGAGGGCGAGGGCGACCCCUUCUAUGAGGUGCUGGGCCUGGUCACCCUGGAGGAUGUCAUCGAAGAGAUCAUCAAGUCCGAGAUCCUGGACGAGUCGGACACGUACACUGACAACCGAAGCCGGAAACGGGUGUCUGCAAAGAACAAGCGUGAUUUCUCCGCCUUCAAGGAUGCUGACAAUGAACUCAAAGUCAAGAUCUCUCCUCAGCUGCUUCUGGCUGCCCAUCGCUUCCUGGCCACAGAGGUGCCCCAGUUCAGUCCCUCUCUGAUAUCAGAGAAGAUUCUGCUGCGGUUGCUCAAGUACCCAGAUGUCAUCCAGGAGCUCAAGUUUGAUGAGCACAACAAGUACUACGCCCGCCACUACUUGUAUACCCGGAACAAGCCGGCCGACUACUUCAUCCUCAUCCUGCAGGGGAAGGUGGAGGUGGAGGCAGGCAAGGAGAACAUGAAGUUUGAGACAGGCGCCUUCUCCUACUAUGGGACCAUGGCCCUGUCCUGGGUCCCCUCUGACCGCUCCCCAUCGCACCCCAUGCCCCUCAGCCGCUCAGCCUCCCUCAGUUACCCGGACCGCAGCACAGAUGCGUCCACCACGUCCACCCUGGCGGCUGGCAGCAACCAGUUUGGCAGCUCCAUCCUGGGCCAGUACAUCUCGGACUUCAGUGUCCGGGCACUCAUGGACCUGCAGUACAUUAAGGUAAGUGCCCCUGCUGCAGCCCUCGUCCCUGCUCAGGACCAGUGGCCUCUUUCCCCACCCAAACGCAGCAUCCUUCUCCUCACCUUGCCCUGCGCCUGCUGGGAGCCCCCGCAGGCCCUCUCUUCUGCCUGGGCCCCAGCUCUUGCCCACCGCACUCGCCUCCUGCCCACAGAUCACGCGGCAGCAGUACCAGAACGGGCUGAUGGCCUCCCGCAUGGAGAACGGCCCACAGUUUCCGCUGGACGGGUGCACCACCUGCACGGAGAACUUCACCGAGAAGCCCGAGCUGCCCGUGGUGGACGAGACCACAACGCUGCUCAACGAGCGCAACUCCUUGCUGCACAGAGCCUCCCCGGACAGCGCCAUCUGACAGCAGGGCCCGGGGCCCUGCCCGCCCCGCGGGGCCUCCCCAGUGGGCCACACCGAGAGAGGGGGCCUGUUAGGCCACAGGGGUGCGGAUUGCCUGUGUGA
This 1315-nucleotide long non-coding RNA is filed under the name Ictidomys tridecemlineatus (thirteen-lined ground squirrel). RNAcentral's name for it is "lncRNA (ENSSTOG00000033230.1)". The record is from RNAcentral. Lineage: Eukaryota; Metazoa; Chordata; Mammalia; Rodentia; Sciuridae.